This 291-nucleotide long non-coding RNA is filed under the name Nicotiana benthamiana. Its description in RNAcentral is "long non-coding RNA (NBEN_LNC001678)". The record is from RNAcentral. Lineage: Eukaryota; Viridiplantae; Streptophyta; Magnoliopsida; Solanales; Solanaceae.
ACAAAUGCAGCUUUGCAGCUGCCAUCACCCUAGUUGAGUUCUUCUUAUUUUAAUUCUAAGCGCAAGCAAAAUUAGUAGAGGCGCGUUUAAACUGGUCUGGACACUGACGAUACUAAUACUGAAAAGAAGUUCUUCAUUUUCUUAAUUCGAACAAACAGCUUAACCUUAGCCUCAGAAUGCUUAUAAUGCUUGAAUUUUACACCUGCAGAAGGGGUAGAGGGUUAUGAGGGGUAAAAAAGUCUGCAGCAACUGGACACACGAUAUAGCAAAAUGCAUGGAAGAGCAGAAAAC